GUGACCAUCACUUAUUUGCAUUGUAGUGUCCAGGAAGUGGAUCUCUUGUGUGGCCUGGUCCAGGCUGAGGUUGAUGGUGGGGUGGAAAUUGUUAAAAUCCAGGUGGAAUUCUUCAAUGGCCUCCUUCACGUGGGUCAAUAUGAUGAAGAUGUCAUCAAUGUAGCCCAGACAUCCCAUUUAUGAUGCCUGACAGUGUUAUUAACAGGAAAAUUAAUUGGAUUUGAACAAGCUGAAUAUGAAGUCACGCUAUGUUUUCUACCUAUAGUAACAGAAUUGUCAAGACUUUUGUUGUUGCAGCUACAAAUGGAAUCUGCCGUUUUACCUCUCCAAAUUAAUUGGGGGAUGAACUUUGACAUAGAGGAAGAAAUUUGUUUCUCUUGCCUGCUUACACUGAGGAGGACUAACUGGCUGAGUUUUCAUUCCAAGUGGAGAAUUCAUGUUUUUAAUGUUUAUUUUUUGUGCCUUUGAGACGAAAACAUUAAAAGGCUAAAUCAGAGGA
Molecule: long non-coding RNA, 499 nt
Organism: Chelonia mydas (Green sea turtle)
Lineage: Eukaryota; Metazoa; Chordata; Testudines; Cheloniidae
Exons: 2
Source: RefSeq, a predicted model, not a curated record